Alnus glutinosa is the source of this 456-nucleotide long non-coding RNA. RefSeq lists it as uncharacterized. The record is from RefSeq and is a predicted model, not a curated record. The transcript has 2 exons. Lineage: Eukaryota; Viridiplantae; Streptophyta; Magnoliopsida; Fagales; Betulaceae.
GAGCACGCGGGUAGUUAGGAUGUCAUAGAGUAUGAGAUUCAAUAGUGUAGUCUAACGAUACUAAGGUUUGCAGGCUUGUGUCGUGAUUGGAGACGUAGACUUGUUCUCCAAUGUAGAGUUCGAGUAAUUGGAAUCCAGUGAAAGUUCGAGUCAGGAGUCUAAUGCAGCCAAGAUGAUGUUUCUUUGGCUGCAGGUACUUUGGUAUAGUUGAUGGGUCGGUAGCAGUGUGCUUGGGAUAUUAUGAUUGAAGCUCACCGCGACGGUUGUAAUUGUCGGACCACGAGUUGUCCACUAUUUUAUAGGUUUGGUAUGGCUUGUGACGUUUGUGUCACUUAUUCUUUGUUAAGCCAUUAUUGUUAUGUAAAUAUUGUGUUAAUAAGACUCAAACAGAUAUAUGUUAAAUGGCUCAAUGUUGUAAUUAAUGUGUGAUAGAUGUAUAAGUUGUAAUUUCCGCUA